AGGUCUACCAGAUUAUGUCUCGGGGACUGGGAUGGUUGGUCCAGCGUGUCCCGGGGUCUUCGCGUGUGUUAGGGCGCACAGGCGGCCCUUGUCGGCCCGACCAGUUGUUGAGGGGCGACGCUGCCCGGCGUGCAGCAUUGAGGGGUCCAUGGCUGGGUGGUGUCGGCAGUUUUUGGCACCUUGCCCCCUUUCCAUCUCCUCCCCUCUGGAAUUCCUGGAUGGAUUAAGACAGAUUGGUCCUUCCGCACACAAUGUUGUGGCGACCUUGAACUUUGAGUCCUUGUACCCGUCCCUAAACCUAAAC
This 304-nucleotide long non-coding RNA is filed under the name Androctonus crassicauda. The record is from RNAcentral. Lineage: Eukaryota; Metazoa; Arthropoda; Arachnida; Scorpiones; Buthidae.